RNAcentral lists this ribosomal RNA (336 nucleotides) under uncultured bacterium. RNAcentral's name for it is "bacterial SSU rRNA". It matches the Rfam family "Bacterial small subunit ribosomal RNA", at positions 9 to 330 of the family's 1533-position model. The record is from RNAcentral.
GAGUUUGAUCCUGGCUCAGGAUGAACGCUGGCGGCGUGCCUAACACAUGCAAGUCGAGCGAUGAAAUUCAAAGGAUUUCUUCGGAAUGAAAGUGAAUGGAUUAGCGGCGGACGGGUGAGUAACGCGUGGGCAACCUGCCUUAUACCGGAGGAUAGCUCCUGGAAACGGUGGUAAUACUCUAUAAGCUUACGACAGGACAUCCUGAUGUAAGAAAAGUGAUUAGCGGUAUAAGAGGGCCCGCGUCUGAUUAGAUAGUUGGUGGGUAACGGCCUACCAAGUCGACGAUCAGUAGCCGACCUGAGAGGGUGAUCGGCCACAUUGGAACUGAGACACGGU